Molecule: ribosomal RNA, 522 nt
Filed under: uncultured cyanobacterium
Lineage: Bacteria; Bacillati; Cyanobacteriota
Description: bacterial SSU rRNA
Rfam family: Bacterial small subunit ribosomal RNA
Source: RNAcentral
UGGGGAAUUUUCCGCAAUGGGCGAAAGCCUGACGGAGCAAGACCGCGUGGGGGAAGAAGGUUUGUGGAUUGUAAACCCCUUUUGAUUGGGAAGAUGAUGACGGUACCAAUCGAAUCAGCCUCGGCUAACUCCGUGCCAGCAGCCGCGGUAAUACGGAGGAGGCAAGCGUUAUCCGGAAUUAUUGGGCGUAAAGCGUCCGUAGGUGGAUAUUCGUGUCAGUUGUUAAAGGAUGCGGCUUAACCGCAUAAAAGGCGAUUGAAACUGGAUGUCUAGAGUGCGAUAGGGGCAAGGGGAAUUCCCAGUGUAGCGGUGAAAUGCGUAGAUAUUGGGAAGAACACCGGUGGCGAAAGCGCCUUGCUGGGUCUGCACUGACACUGAGGGACGAAAGCUAGGGGAGCGAAAGGGAUUAGAUACCCCUGUAGUCCUAGCUGUAAACGAUGGGUACUAGGCGUUGUCCGUAUCGACCGGGCAGUGCCGUAGCUAACGCGUUAAGUACCCCGCCUGGGGAGUACGCUCGCAAGG